RNAcentral lists this ribosomal RNA (472 nucleotides) under uncultured bacterium. RNAcentral describes it as "SSU rRNA". It matches the Rfam family "Bacterial small subunit ribosomal RNA", at positions 26 to 518 of the family's 1533-position model. The record is from RNAcentral.
AGGACGAACGCUGGCGGCGUGCUUAACACAUGCAAGUCGAGCGGAAAGGCCCUUCGGGGUACUCGAGCGGCGAACGGGUGAGUAACACGUGAGCAACCUGCCCCUGGCUCUGGGAUAGCCUUCGGAAACGGGGAUUAAUACCGGAUAUUCACUGCUUCCUGCAUGGGGGGUGGUGGAAAGUUUUCGGCUGGGGUGGGCUCGCGGCCUAUCAGCUUGUUGGGGGGUGACGGCCCACCAAGGCGACGACGGGUAGCCGGCCUGAGAGGGCGACCGGCCACACUGGGACUGAGACACGGCCCAGACUCCUACGGGAGGCAGCAGUGGGGAAUAUUGCGCAAUGGGCGGAAGCCUGACGCAGCGACGCCGCGUGCGGGAUGAAGGCCUUCGGGUUGUAAACCGCUUUCACCAGGGACGAAGCGAGAGUGACGGUACCUGGGGAAGAAGCGCCGGCUAACUACGCGCCAGCAGCCGC